AUUCCAGCUCCAAUAGCGUAUACUAAAGUUGUUGCAGUUAAAAAGCUCGUAGUUGAAUUUCUGGUCUUGGACAGCGGUCUGCCUCAAAAGAGGUACGCACCAUCUAUCCGAGUCCAUCCUCGGGGAAAACAUGUGUGUGAUUCAGUUCAUGUGCAUGGGAUCCUCGUCAUUUACUGUGAGCAAAAUAGAGUGUUCAAAGCAGGCUUAUGCCGUUGAAUAUUUUAGCAUGGAAUAAUAAGAUAAGACCUUGGUCUAUUUUGUUGGUUUGUACUCCAAGGUAAUGAUUAAUAGGGACAGUUGGGGGUAUUCGUAUUCAAUUGUCAGAGGUGAAAUUCUUGGAUUUAUUGAAGACGAACUACUGCGAAAGCAUUUACCAAGGAUGUUUUCAUCA
This 391-nucleotide ribosomal RNA is filed under the name Chrysophyceae sp. Its description in RNAcentral is "partial small subunit ribosomal RNA". It matches the Rfam family "Eukaryotic small subunit ribosomal RNA", at positions 582 to 975 of the family's 1831-position model. The record is from RNAcentral. Lineage: Eukaryota; Chrysophyceae.